RNAcentral lists this long non-coding RNA (710 nucleotides) under Salvia miltiorrhiza (redroot sage). RNAcentral describes it as "long non-coding RNA (SMIL_LNC006333)". The record is from RNAcentral. Lineage: Eukaryota; Viridiplantae; Streptophyta; Magnoliopsida; Lamiales; Lamiaceae.
AUUUGAACACAAAGUGUGCUUUAUUUAUCUCCUCGCUUUUGUCGCUUUGUUUCCUCUUCUUCCCAUGAGAGAGAGAGAGUUGUAGAUGGAGAAACUGCAACUCCACCAAAUAUACUACUACUACUACUAUAUAUCUAGAGAGAGAGAGGAAGUCUUGAACAAGUAGUUUGUGUAGGGAGGUUUUUGUUUGGUUUGCGAGUAGAAUUGGUUGGGAGAUUUGAAUGAUUUUAGGUUGGGAAUUUGGGUUUUAUAAUGAUGAAGAGCAGAAGAGAAGAAAAGAGAUGGGUCCAGAAAAGGAGACGGAUUGCGUGUGAGUCGGANAAGUCUUGAACAAGUAGUUUGUGUAGGGAGGAUUUUGUUUUGGUUUGCGAGUAGAAUUGGUUGGGAGAUUUGAAUGAUUUUAGGUUGGGAAUUUGGUUAGGAUAAUGAUGAAGAGAAGAGAGCAGAAGAGAAGAAAAGAGAUAGGUCCAGAAAAGGAGACGGAUUGCGUGUGAGUCGGAUAUUUUGAGUUUUGUUGAAAAUAGCGCGCGUGAUGGAGGUUUAUUCUUGCAAUCUUGCAUAAAUUGCAAGAAACUAGAUAUUUUCCAACUAUAUACCCAAACUACAAAUUUUCUGUCUAUAAUAAUUCUACUUUAUGGUAACUGCAUAAUUUGGUGCAAACGGUAUGACCAUGUAACUUUUCUGCUUUUGUAUGGUGUGCAACUUUUUGU